Molecule: ribosomal RNA, 229 nt
Filed under: uncultured bacterium
Lineage: Bacteria
Description: partial 16S ribosomal RNA
Rfam family: Bacterial small subunit ribosomal RNA
Source: RNAcentral
CGCGUAGGCGGUCUUGUCGGUCAGAUGUGAUAGCCCAGGGCUCAACCCUGGACGUGCAUUUGAAACAGCAAGACUUGAGUACGGGAGAGGAAAGCGGAAUUCCUGGUGUAGAGGUGAAAUUCGUAGAUAUCAGGAGGAACACCGAUGGCGAAGGCAGCUUUCUGGACCGAUACUGACGCUGAGGCGCGAAGGCGUGGGUAGCGAACAGGAUUAGAUACCCUGGUAGUCC